CGCACGCUGGGCCGACUGCCCGACCGUGGGCCCCUCCGCCAGUGCCGGAGUCUCGCGAGAGUUGUGAGUAAACAGCCCCGAAUGGAGAGUCGUAGCGUGUUCGCGGCGGAGGCUCCGUUAUCCCUGGCCUGCCGGCUCCGAGCCUGAGGCGGCCGAAGAUCUUGACCUGCCACGGACGGCAUGGUGGUGCUACUACCGAAGACUGCUGUCGAUCGUCGGCUUCAUUUUUAUUAAGAUGUUUACCCCGUGCCUGUAGAGCCCCUGAAAAUCUUGGUCUGCUGGUCUGUACAAAUUAAGUUAAAUAUUUACUUUUACAUUAAAUUCUAAGUGACGCUUCCAAAUGACAGGAGCAAGAAGACCUGGAGGUUGAAUUGUAGAGCCUUUCGUGGCUCUGUGCUAGUGAGCACCUCUAAUAUUUUGGGUUUCAGGUUUACAAGUGUAUAAAAAGGAGGGGCUUGCAUAAGAGCAGUUUUCUCUCCAGUUUUUUAUUGAGCUGCAGAAUCCUUUCUUAGUAUAGCUAUGUUUUCAUAUAAGAGCUUCAUUUUGGUAGAAUUUAUAUACUGCAUUAAAUGCAGAGUUGUGCAGUUAUCACCACAAUCCGCUCUUAGAAUAUUUCCAUCACCCCAAGAAGACCCCUCUGUUCACUGGCAGUCAGUACCCAUUUUCAGCCCCAUUAAUCUACUUUGUCUCCCUAGAUUUGCCAUUUCUUAGUAUUUCAUCUCUUCAAAUAAGAAGUCAUGAUAUUUGGCCUUUUGUGUCUGGCUUCUUUCACUUACAGUGUUUUCAGGGCUCACCCAAGCUGUAGCUAGCAUGUAUCAGUACUUCAUUCCUUGUUAUGACCAAAUGAUAUUUCAUUGUAUGGGUAGCCUACAUUUUAAAAAAUAAUUCAUAGAGAACUUUUUUCCCUUUGGUUUUUUGAGACAGGGUCUCGCUAUGUAGUCCAGGCCGACUUUGAACUCAUUAUGUAGCCUGGGGUGGCCCGGAGUGCUCAGCAGUCCUUCUGCCUUAGCCUCUUGAGUGCUGGGAUAACAAGCAUGUACCAUGAAGACCAACAUGCAGAACACUUCUUGCAAAUAAAAUUUUAUGCUACAGUGUGUGAUACCCAUGACAGCAGCUUUUUAUUAGGGCCUCCUAAGUCUCCACUGAGUUCCCCAAGCAACAGCAAGAAUUUGUCGUUUCUGUGUAAAAGUGGAAGUUCUCAUGCAGUGCUGGCAGGAUCUUUUUUUUUUAGUUAUCGGGGAUUGAACUCCGGUCCUUGUGCUUUCGAGGCAGGCGGCGGAACCACUGAGCUAAAUCUCCAGCCCAGAGAUAUUUUUUUUUUUUUUUUUUUUUGGUACAUGGGAUCGAACUCGGGACCUUGUGCUUGCAAGGUAAGUGGUGGAACCACGGGGCUAAAUCCCAGGCCCACGAUCUUUGACUCACAUAGGAAUGAAGGGGUGUCUAUUUUGGUCAGAUGUUUAUCAUUUCUUGCAAAUUCAUGUUCUUUGAUUGUAUUUUCUAUCAGCCCAUGACAGGUUGUUCUUGGACUGCCUUUUUAUUUGCAUGACAGCCGCCACAAGUGUCACAAAUAAUUAGAAUAACAAAAGUAGGAAGACUGAAAGCAGAAGUGAACUGCACAUUUCCCAUUAGUGUCUUUAGUGGGGCCUAAUGCCCUGUCUCCUUGCCCUUUUAGGAAUGACCACUCUAACUUUUGGAAACCUGAAAUACUAAGAACAGGAGAUUUGACCUUCCUUUUCAUGUUUGGGUGGGGGACGGAGGUUGAAGAUAGAAUGGUCUCUUUCAGUGUUUUACUUUGAGGCAGGUUGAAGUGAUUAAAAAAAGUUGAUUUCUGUUUCCUUGUGGCCUGAUCCAUUUUGAUGUGCUGCAGAAAUCCAUUAAGUAGAUUUAUUAAUUUUGACAAGGUUCUGUUUGCCUAAGGAAACUGAUUUAAGAUGUGGUAGGAUAGGAAGUUUGGUGGCGCCUACUGUGGCUGACUAGUUUUAGAUGGCAAAAGGAUAAGAGAAGACUGCUAGGAGCCCAGAGCAAAUAUGUGAAAGAAGAGGCAGUGAUACACUGUAGACAGGGUGCUCUACUGACACAUUGGGCUAAAGAAUUUUUUUUUUUUUUAAAUACAGUACUGAUGGACAGAAUGUGCCAGAAGAAAUGGUUCACUCAGGCUUAAGAAUACACCUUUAUUUUAAGAUAGUUUGUUCUGGUAUUGCUUAAUUGUUAGCCUGUUAAACAAUGGUACUACAGCCGACUAUGCAAUUAGUUACAAAAGUGGUAGUUUUUCAGGCAGCUUUUAAUUAAACUGUAUAGUACCCUUUCAUAAUCUAAAU
Molecule: long non-coding RNA, 2318 nt
Organism: Heterocephalus glaber (naked mole-rat)
Lineage: Eukaryota; Metazoa; Chordata; Mammalia; Rodentia; Bathyergidae
Source: Ensembl